Molecule: ribosomal RNA, 429 nt
Filed under: Acidobacteriota bacterium
Lineage: Bacteria; Pseudomonadati; Acidobacteriota
Description: Acidobacteria bacterium partial 16S ribosomal RNA
Rfam family: Bacterial small subunit ribosomal RNA
Source: RNAcentral
UGGGGAAUUUUGGACAAUGGGGGAAACCCUGAUCCAGCCAUCCCGCGUGUGCGAUGAAGGCCUUCGGGUUGUAAAGCACUUUUGGCAGGAAAGAAACGUCAUGGGUUAAUACCCCGUGAAACUGACGGUACCUGCAGAAUAAGCACCGGCUAACUACGUGCCUGCAGCCGCGGUAAUACGUAGGGUGCAAGCGUUAAUCGGAAUUACUGGGCGUAAAGCGUGCGCAGGCGGUUCGGAAAGAAAGAUGUGAAAUCCCAGAGCUCAACUUUGGAACUGCAUUUUUAACUACCGGGCUAGAGUGUGUCAGAGGGAGGUGGAAUUCCGCGUGUAGCAGUGAAAUGCGUAGAUAUGCGGAGGAACACCGAUGGCGAAGGCAGCCUCCUGGGAUAACACUGACGCUCAUGCACGAAAGCGUGGGGAGCAAACAGG